This 364-nucleotide ribosomal RNA is filed under the name uncultured Synechococcus sp. Its description in RNAcentral is "bacterial SSU rRNA". It matches the Rfam family "Bacterial small subunit ribosomal RNA", at positions 9 to 404 of the family's 1533-position model. Lineage: Bacteria; Bacillati; Cyanobacteriota; Cyanophyceae; Synechococcales; Synechococcaceae. The record is from RNAcentral.
GAGUUUGAUCCUGGCUCAGGAUGAACGCUGGCGGCGUGCUUAACACAUGCAAGUCGAACGAACCUUCGGGUUAGUGGCGGACGGGUGAGUAACGCGUGAGAAUCUGCCCUCAGGAGGGGGAUAACGGUUGGAAACGACCGCUAAUACCCCAUAUGCCGCGAGGUGAAAUGAAUUUCGCCUGAGGAUGAGCUCGCGUCUGAUUAGCUAGUUGGUGGGGUAAAGGCCUACCAAGGCAUCGAUCAGUAGCUGGUCUGAGAGGAUGAUCAGCCACACUGGGACUGAGACACGGCCCAGACUCCUACGGGAGGCAGCAGUGGGGAAUUUUCCGCAAUGGGCGAAAGCCUGACGGAGCAACGCCGCGUGA